This 476-nucleotide long non-coding RNA is filed under the name Pan troglodytes (chimpanzee). Its description in RNAcentral is "long non-coding RNA NONPTRT000256". The record is from RNAcentral. Lineage: Eukaryota; Metazoa; Chordata; Mammalia; Primates; Hominidae.
GAGACCCAGUAAGUGACCCAAUAGGAAGCAUCCCAGGACACAGAGGAAGCCAUACAUGGCUGCAUACCUAGUAUCAGGCCCACUGUCUGCAGACCUUCAAGUGGAUCUUCAUCCAAGCACCAGCCCUGGAACAAGGCAGAAGAACACCACCUUCUUGCGCUUCUUCGCCUCCUCCGGCAUUGAAGACUUACGCAUCUUCAUGUCCUUGAACACCUUGAUGACACCAUCAGAGACGGCCACCCCUGAGGCCAUGUUUCUGGAAGUGAAAAGAAGAAGGCACGGAGAGCCUCAGAAGACACUGCUGCUAGGACCCACCUGAACCAAGUCUUAACAUCUUUAAGAAGAUUUGAAUCAAAUCAAGUAUAUUUUGUGGACAAAAUGGCAUGAAACUAGAAAUCAACAAACAGGAGUAAAUUUGGAAAAUUCACAACUGUGUAAAUUAAACAAUGUGCUCCUGAACAACCAAUGCAUCAAAG